Molecule: unclassified non-coding RNA, 520 nt
Filed under: uncultured Glomus
Lineage: Eukaryota; Fungi; Glomeromycota; Glomeromycetes; Glomerales; Glomeraceae
Description: SSU rRNA
Rfam family: Eukaryotic small subunit ribosomal RNA
Source: RNAcentral
AGCAGCCGCGGUAAUUCCAGCUCCAAUAGCGUAUAUUAAAGUUGUUGCAGUUAAAAGCUCGUAGUUGAAUUUCGAGACCGGUUUACUGGUCGUGCUUUUGUACGUACUGGUAUUAUUGGUUUCUCCUUUCUGACGAAUCUUAAUGCCAUUAAUUUGGUGUUUUGGGGAAUCAGGACUGUUACUUUGAAAAAUUAGAGUGUUUAAAGCAGGCUCACGCUUGAAUACAUUAGCAUGGAAUAACGGAAUAGGACGUUUGAUUCUAUUUUGUUGGUUUCUAGGAUCGACGUAAUGAUUAAUAGGGAUAGUUGGGGGCAUUAGUAUUCAAUUGUCAGAGGUGAAAUUCUUGGAUUUAUUGAAGACUAACUACUGCGAAAGCAUUUGCCAAGGAUGUUUUCAUUAAUCAAGAACGAAAGUUAGGGAUCGAAGACGAUCAGAUACCGUCGUAGUCUUAACCAUAAACUAUGCCGACUAGGGAUCGGAUGAUGUUAAUUUUUAAUGACUCAUUCGGCGCCUUACGGGA